RNAcentral lists this unclassified non-coding RNA (161 nucleotides) under uncultured Ophiocordyceps. RNAcentral describes it as "sequence contains ITS1". Lineage: Eukaryota; Fungi; Ascomycota; Sordariomycetes; Hypocreales; Ophiocordycipitaceae. The record is from RNAcentral.
CAGAGUUGCAAAACUCCUACACACCCGCGAACUUACCCGUAUUGUUGCUUCGGCGGGUUGGCCCCGGUCUCCGGGGUCCCCGGCCCUACUCGGGCGCCCGCCGGAGGUAUCUAACUCUUGAACUUUUAUGGCCUCUCUGAGUCUUUGUACUUAAUAAGUCA